This 250-nucleotide ribosomal RNA is filed under the name uncultured bacterium. RNAcentral's name for it is "partial 16S ribosomal RNA". It matches the Rfam family "Bacterial small subunit ribosomal RNA", at positions 335 to 605 of the family's 1533-position model. The record is from RNAcentral.
ACUCCUACGGGAGGCAGCAGUGGGGAAUAUUGCACAAUGGGCGCAAGCCUGAUGCAGCCAUGCCGCGUGAGUGAUGAAGGCCCUAGGGUUGUAAAACUCUUUCAUCGGUGAAGAUAAUGACGGUAGCCGAAGAAGAAGUCCCGGCUAACUCCGUGCCAGCAGCCGCGGUAAUACGGAGGGACUAGCGUUGUUCGGAAUUACUGGGCGUAAAGCGCGCGUAGGCGGACUGGUCAGUUGGGGUGAAUCCGAG